Molecule: ribosomal RNA, 199 nt
Filed under: Brevibacillus laterosporus
Lineage: Bacteria; Bacillati; Bacillota; Bacilli; Caryophanales; Paenibacillaceae
Description: partial 16S ribosomal RNA
Rfam family: Bacterial small subunit ribosomal RNA
Source: RNAcentral
UUAAUGGAGAGUUUGAUCCUGGCUCAGGACGAACGCUGGCGGCGUGCCUAAUACAUGCAAGUCGAGCGAGGAUCUUCGGACCCUAGCGGCGGACGGGUGAGUAACACGUAGGCAACCUGCCUGUGAGACUGGGAUAACAUAGGGAAACUUAUGCUAAUACCGGAUAGGGUUUUGCUUCACCUGAAGCGAAACGGAAAGA